AAGUGUGGCGACACAUAGAUCUGACGAAUACUAAUCGAUCGAGGACUUAACCAAU
Molecule: ribosomal RNA, 55 nt
Filed under: Domibacillus aminovorans
Lineage: Bacteria; Bacillati; Bacillota; Bacilli; Caryophanales; Bacillaceae
Description: partial 23S ribosomal RNA
Source: RNAcentral